GACGAAGGGGGCUAGCGUUGUUCGGAAUUACUGGGCGUAAAGCGAGUGUAGGUGGUUGUCAUAGUCAGGUGUGAAAGCCUUGAGCUCAACUCAAGAAAUGCACUUGAUACUGGGCGACUAGAGGACCGGAGAGGAUAGUGGAAUUCCCAGUGUAGUGGUGAAAUACGUAGAGAUUGGGAAGAACACCAGUGGCGAAGGCGGUUGCCUGGAGCUUUGCUGACGCUGAGGCGCGAAAGCGUGGGGAGCGAUCCGG
Molecule: ribosomal RNA, 253 nt
Filed under: uncultured bacterium
Lineage: Bacteria
Description: partial 16S ribosomal RNA
Rfam family: Bacterial small subunit ribosomal RNA
Source: RNAcentral